Molecule: ribosomal RNA, 594 nt
Filed under: Klebsiella pneumoniae
Lineage: Bacteria; Pseudomonadati; Pseudomonadota; Gammaproteobacteria; Enterobacterales; Enterobacteriaceae
Description: bacterial SSU rRNA
Rfam family: Bacterial small subunit ribosomal RNA
Source: RNAcentral
AUGUGGUUUAAUUCGAUGCAACGCGAAGAACCUUACCUGGUCUUGACAUCCACAGAACUUUCCAGAGAUGGAUUGGUGCCUUCGGGAACUGUGAGACAGGUGCUGCAUGGCUGUCGUCAGCUCGUGUUGUGAAAUGUUGGGUUAAGUCCCGCAACGAGCGCAACCCUUAUCCUUUGUUGCCAGCGGUCCGGCCGGGAACUCAAAGGAGACUGCCAGUGAUAAACUGGAGGAAGGUGGGGAUGACGUCAAGUCAUCAUGGCCCUUACGACCAGGGCUACACACGUGCUACAAUGGCAUAUACAAAGAGAAGCGACCUCGCGAGAGCAAGCGGACCUCAUAAAGUAUGUCGUAGUCCGGAUUGGAGUCUGCAACUCGACUCCAUGAAGUCGGAAUCGCUAGUAAUCGUAGAUCAGAAUGCUACGGUGAAUACGUUCCCGGGCCUUGUACACACCGCCCGUCACACCAUGGGAGUGGGUUGCAAAAGAAGUAGGUAGCUUAACCUUCGGGAGGGCGCUUACCACUUUGUGAUUCAUGACUGGGGUGAAGUCGUAACAAGGUAACCGUAGGGGAACCUGCGGUUGGAUCACCUCCUUA